RNAcentral lists this ribosomal RNA (469 nucleotides) under uncultured bacterium. Its description in RNAcentral is "partial 16S ribosomal RNA". It matches the Rfam family "Bacterial small subunit ribosomal RNA", at positions 28 to 508 of the family's 1533-position model. The record is from RNAcentral.
GACGAACGCUGGCGGCGUGCUUAACACAUGCAAGUCGAACGGAAAGGCCCUGCUUUUGUGGGGUGCUCGAGUGGCGAACGGGUGAGUAACACGUGAGUAACCUGCCCUUGACUUUGGGAUAACUUCAGGAAACUGGGGCUAAUACCGGAUAGGAGCUCCUGCUGCAUGGUGGGGGUUGGAAAGUUUCGGCGGUUGGGGAUGGACUCGCGGCUUAUCAGCUUGUUGGUGGGGUAGUGGCUUACCAAGGCUUUGACGGGUAGCCGGCCUGAGAGGGUGACCGGCCACAUUGGGACUGAGAUACGGCCCAGACUCCUACGGGAGGCAGCAGUGGGGAGUAUUGCACAAUGGGCGGAAGCCUGAUGCAGCAACGCCGCGUGCGGGAUGACGGCCUUCGGGUUGUAAACCGCUUUCGCCUGUGACGAAGCGUGAGUGACGGUAAUGGGUAAAGAAGCACCGGCUAACUACGUGC